Molecule: ribosomal RNA, 1104 nt
Filed under: Triticum aestivum (bread wheat)
Lineage: Eukaryota; Viridiplantae; Streptophyta; Magnoliopsida; Poales; Poaceae
Description: partial small subunit ribosomal RNA
Source: RNAcentral
AUGGCGACCGGGCUAGGAGUCACCGCGAAGGCCGUGCUGCUGGUGCUAGCGCCGGUGGUGAUCUCCGUGGCGCUGUACAGCCCCAAGGACUUCUCUCCGGCGGAGCUGCCGCCCGAGCACAGCUUCGGCCCCGACGUUUCCGCGCCGCGGCACGACGCCCGCGUGCUGGCCGCGAGCGAGCGGAUCGGGGAGGGGCUGCUCCCGGGCCCCGAGGACCUGGCCUACGACGCCGCCGGCGGGUGGCUGUACACCGGGUGCGCCGACGGGUGGGUCCGCCGCGUGAGCGUUCCUGGCGGGGACGUGGAGGACUGGGCCUACACCGGCGGCCGCCCGCUCGGCGUCGUGCUCGCGGGCGACGGCGGCCUCGUCGUGGCGGACGCGGAUAAGGGCUUGCUAAAGGUGAGGCCGGACAAGACGGUGGAGAUGCUGACGGACGCGGCGGAGGGCCUCAAGUUCGCCCUGACGGACGGCGUGGACAUCGCCGCCGACGGCACCAUCUACUUCACCGACGCCUCGUACAAGUACAGCCUCGCGGACCACUUUCUGGACGUGCUCGAGGCACGGCCCCACGGCCGGCUCAUGAGCUUCGACCCCUCCACGCGCCGGACCUCCGUGCUCGCCCGCGACCUCUACUUCGCCAACGGCGUCGCCGUCGCGCCGGACCAGGACUCGCUUAUCUUCUGUGAGACGGUCAUGAGGAGGUGCUCGAGGUACCACAUCAGGGGCGACAAGGCAGGCACGGUGGAGAGCUUCAUCGACAGCCUGCCGGGGCUCCCGGACAACAUCCGAUACAACGGCGAGGGCCGGUACUGGAUCGCGCUCUCGGCGGGGAGGACGCUGCAGUUGGACGUGUUGAUGUGGUCGCCCUUGGUGCGGAAGCUCGUGUACAUGGUGGGGAAGUACGUGAUGGCGGUGCCGCAGGGCCUGAGGGACUCGGGGACGAUGAGCGUGGCUCUAAACGGCGAGCCGGCGACCAUGUACACUGACCCGGGACUCGCGCUCGCCACCGGCUGGCUCAAGGUCGGGGGCUACCUCUACUACGGGUCGCUGGCAAGCUCGUACAUCAGCAGGGUCGACCUCACCAAAUCAUCCAUCGAAGCCUAG